Molecule: ribosomal RNA, 253 nt
Filed under: uncultured bacterium
Lineage: Bacteria
Description: partial 16S ribosomal RNA
Rfam family: Bacterial small subunit ribosomal RNA
Source: RNAcentral
UACAGAGGUCUCAAGCGUUGUUCGGAUUCAUUGGGCGUAAAGGGUGCGUAGGUGGCGCGCUAAGUCAGGUGUGAAAUUUCGGAGCUUAACUCCGAAACUGCAUUUGAUACUGGCGUGCUUGAGGACUGGAGAGGAGACUGGAAUUCAUGGUGUAGCAGUGAAAUGCGUAGAGAUCAUGAGGAAGACCAGUGGCGAAGGCGGCUCACUGGACCGGUACUGACGCUGAUGCGCGAAAGCGUGGGGAGCAAACAGG